Molecule: transfer-messenger RNA, 356 nt
Filed under: uncultured bacterium
Lineage: Bacteria
Description: partial tmRNA
Rfam family: transfer-messenger RNA
About the family: Bacterial tmRNA, also known as 10Sa RNA or SsrA, is named for its dual tRNA and mRNA-like properties. Its role is to liberate the mRNA from a stalled ribosome.
Source: RNAcentral
GGGGCUGAUUCUGGAUUCGACGGGAUUUGCGAAACCCAAGGUGCAUGCCGAGGGGCGGUUGGCCUCGUAAAAAGCCGCAAAAAAAUAGUCGCAAACGACGAAACCUACGCUUUAGCAGCUUAAUAACCUGCUUAGAGCCCUCUCUCCCUAGCCUCCGCUCUUAGGACGGGGAUCAAGAGAGGUCAAACCCAAAAGAGAUCGCGCGGAUGCCCUGCCUGGGGUUGAAGCGUUAAAACGAAUCAGGCUAGUCUGGUAGUGGCGUGUCCGUCCGCAGGUGCCAGGCGAAUGUAAAGACUGACUAAGCAUGUAGUACCGAGGAUGUAGGAAUUUCGGACGCGGGUUCAACUCCCCCCAGC